UGGAUUCUUAAAGGAAGUAAAGGUUGGCCAGGCAGAAAACAGAGAAGGACCUUUUAAGCAAAGGCAUGGACACUGGAAAUAGAAUGAUGAAAUGGGGGAACUGCAAGUAGUUCCUGAAAUUAGGUUAGAAAUGUAAGCUGAGAAUAGAUCCUAAUAAGUAUUCCAUGAACUUUGGAUUUCAUUUGGAGCGUUUAAGUAGGGGAUGCUUUUGAAGGUCACUUUGGCAGUACUAUAGAGUAUGUUCUGGAAGAUUUUCAAACCUGGACAGGGAGGUUAGUUAGAAAUACACCAUAGUAGAGAAGAUGAUAAAUGAUCGAAGGCCAAAAGGAUUGGGAGUGGAGAAGAGGGGAUAGACUCUUAAAUAAGAGGCUAUAAAAACAUGGACAGUUCUAGAACAUGGAAAAAUUAAGGUGGUAAAGAGGGAAAAAUUAGGGCUCUCAGACGUUGGCAAAUGUGCAUCCACCUACUUCCAUUCCUGGCCUUGUUGAGAUCCUCUCGUGUUUACUUUUAUUAUUUUUAUGAUUGUUUAUUUAUUUAUUUUGAGAAUGAGAAAGUGGGAGUGGGGGGGGGAGGCAGAGAGAGCGGGAGAAAAUUCCCAGCAGGCUCUAUGCUGUCAGUGCAGAGCCCAACGUGGGGCUCCAUCUCACAAGCCGUGAGAUCAUGACCUGAGCCCAAAUCAAGAGUCAGAGGUUUUUCUGACUGAGCCACCCAGAGACCCCAUCCUCUCAUGUUUUUUAGAUGGGCAUUGCUAUUGAUUUCUUUUGGACCAGAGCUUGACUGUACAGAUUUGAUAAGUUUUGUUCUGGGAUGGCAGCUGUUAUAUGAAAUGUUGAUUCUCAGAAAGACGUCUGAACAGCUGUAGACCUCUAAUAGUAUUACUUAGUUCCUUGCCCUUCUCAUCAGUAGCAGGUUUCCCUCACCAUCACAUUGUCUCCCAAAGUCAGAGAGGAAGCUUUUCCCUCUAAAACCCACUCAGGGGAGAAAUGGCCCUAGUUGUGACUGUCUCAAUUGUUUUAUUGUUUGUUGAAUGAAAAACUGAAUCAUCAACAGACAUUAAUUGGGCACCUGCUCUGUAAUCUCCAUGGACUCAGCUUAGGGAUUUUACAACGUUUGUGGUUACAUCUCUAAGUAAAAUAUAUCCAGUAAUCAAAAAUCUAAACAUAUUCAGUAUUCAUUUCCUGUUUUCUCAAAGCAAUAUAAAAAUGUUCUGUGGACAGUUCUCCACCUAAGGCUCAGAGUAGUGACCUUAGGGAUUCAGAGAAUGGAUUCUGUGACUAGAAUGAUUAAUAGGAGAUUAUAUUUAAGUAGACCUUAUGUAUUUUCAGUGGACCUUAUGUAAGUAGCCAUCCUAGAGGGCAGUAGGGGGAAGAAGGAUUGGGAGAGGAAGCUCUGAGUAGGACAGCAAAGCGGGCCUUGGGACUAAAUAGCCUAGGCUCAAAUCUGCUCUUAAACUCACCAGUGUGGUAUUGAGCAUGGUUUUUCACCUCUCUGGGACUUGCCUUUCUCUUAUGUAAAAUAGGGGUAAUGGUCUUUUCUGCAUGUAAAAUGGGGGUAAUGGCCUUUUCUGUGAUGAUUUGGAUGGGGAUGGGGGUAGGUGUAAGGAUUUAAUGGGAUUAUUGUACAUUUCUUAGAACAAGUCUGGAAUGUGCCAAAUGCUAUUAUCAACUGUCAUUGCCACUAAUAAUGAUGUUGACCAUGUCUGGGAUUAAAAGGAGAUAGUUAACCAGAGGUGCUUAUGUUUUACAUUGUCAAUGAGGCUCUUCGGGUGUGAGAAAGAAAGGGAAACUAACUGGCCUGAAGGUUUUCAAUGGUAUGUUAGUAUGAAGUCAACUCUCUACUUUCUUUUUCUUCUCUGCCAAAUAGGUUGGGAAACCAGAUGAAUUUUGUCCAUGCCCUGAUCACUAAUCUAUUGCCUUUGCUCUUAUUUCCAAAUAGAAACCUGUUGAAAAGUUGUGUUACACCUGAAUAAAGGUUAUCCUAAAAAUGUAGAAAAGUGCUUUGGAGUUGGUCAAAACUGGACUUGAAACCUGACUCAACUGCUUACUAGCUGUGUGAUCUAAGACAUGUUACUUAACCUCACUGAACCUCAGUUUUUUCAUCGAAUAUAAUAAUUAAUUUGCAGGGUUUCUCUGAGGAUAUUUGUGAAGUGUAUGUCAUAAGCACUAAGUCAUAGCUGUCAUUGUUAGUUCUUGGGAUACUCACCACGUGACAGAAACAACAGCGGGCCCUGGUGGCUGGGAGGACUGCAUGGAUCCAACCUCAACCUGGAGUUGUGCUCUUCUGAAGAAAUCCUACUCGGAUGGAUAUAAUACAACCUGCUAAGUGUCCUCGCACUUAUCAGGUUGUAUUAUCAUUGUCCGUGUCUAUGGCUCUCGUCUACCAGACUCUAAAUUCCUUACAGGCAAGGACAGUGCCUUGUUCAUCUUUGUAUUCGAUGCCUAAUCCCGUGCACAUUGUAGGCCUCAUUAAAUGUUUGUUGAAUGAAAAAAUGAAUCAUCAACAGACAUUAAUUGGGCGCCUGCUCUGUGAUCUCCAUGGGCUCAGCUUUUCCCCGCCAGUUGCCUACAACGUCCAAGCUGUCUUCAAUAUGCUUUCUCCUGGAGCUUACUCCUAUCUUCUCACUCUCUUGCUGAGGACUUUUCUGUGUAGUACAAAGAUAGCAAGUACCAAAGAUCUCAAGUACCAUCUCCAAUCGGUCAAUAGUACCUGCCUCGAUUAUGUUUCACAAAAAGGAUGCUGAAGCCAGGUCUCACUCAGUUCAGUGUGAAAGAGAGUUAUAACUAAGUAGCUAUGUUUACUGAAGGUGGGAGAAGGGGGAAUAGCAGCCUAAGUGCCGCAUAUAUAUCAUAUUUAAUAUGUUUUCCGUGAAAUAUUCUGUUUCUAUGCCUGUAUUUUAGUCUUGGCUACUUGCAGAUGUUGCAUGCCUGCUGCUGCUGCUGCUGCUGCUACUACUACUACUACAGUUGCUGCUGAUUGCUCCUUGGGUAGGACCAAAGUGAUCAUUGAUCAGAAACUUCAUCCUCACAGUCUGGGGGUUGCUCCUGUGGCUGGUAUUCACAGUUUCCCUUUCAACUUUACCUCAGCUAUCCCCUUACCUACAGUGACAGGUAGGCCUCCACUUUCCGUUCACCACUCAACAGGCUCCUAUUUCCUUUUCCUUCUUUAGUCUGAUUAAUGACUCUUGUUCCAUGAGAAGCCUUCUUUCUGGUAGAAGAUGUGACAAAUAGAGUACAAGUUAAAUGAUUCCGUCAGGGCGCUACAGUGAGUCGUAUAAGCUGCCCUUUAAUGUGGGAGAAAAUGGAGUAUGCUUGCAGACUUCGGGGCAGGAAGGACAGAGAAGGAAAUCAUUGUUGAUGGGGGAAAGAAAGACACUAACAGAUGGAAUAAGUUCCUGAAAAAUGAUGGCAGAAGGGAGGGUGAAACCUAUGACUCUAAAAUAUAGGGAGAGAGAGCACCUCAGAUGAAAGGAAUUACCUCCUCGCUGGAGCAUAGGGAUAGGAGUUAGGAGAAACAUGUGACAAGAGUGUUGAAGAUUUGUAAUUGUUGAGGUGGAUGAUGGAGAGGAAGCUGACAGGAUUAUGGGACAGGGAUUAUGGGACAGAAUUAUGGGGACAAAUAAUCCAGGGACAGGAUUAUGGGGACAAAUCCAGGGACAGGAUUAUGGGACAAACCAGAGUCCAAGGGAUAUUUGGGCCAAAAGACUAGAGUGGGGCCUUUCGGUCUAUUAAAGUGAGAUACUAUUAUAUUAAAUUAUAUACUAAAUUAAAGUAAGAAACCAGAAACUCAAGAAACUUUAAAAUGGUUUUAGGCCACCCGUCACAAGUAACUUGAUUGCCUGGGACUGACCUUUAUUGGUUGAGGGAUGGACAGCUAGCAAGAGAGGGGCUACACAGAAAUGAAUUUGAAACUCCAGACUAUAUGUGGAAGGAAGUUAGAUCAGAAGUGAGCUGAAAGUCUUGAACGAAAAAAGGCCCUAGUGUGAUCAAGAUGGGUGUUGGGUAGUUGGAAAUUGGAAUAAUAGAACCUGUAAUCAGAGAGUGGAUUUUGAAACAUUAAGAUUGCAAAACCGGAGUGGUCAAGGUAACUUGUGAAGUGAGGUUGUCAGAUGGUCAGUUACAUAAAUACUGAAGUGACCCGGGACUAUACAAAAGCCAAGCUGGGAAUGAACUCUGGAGGCCAGGUAAUAGGCCUUGAUGCCUGAGGAGUGAUUUAGAGGUUGGCACAUGGCAACUGUGCAGGUGUAAGAGAAGAAAGGAUGUAGUGGGAUAGUUGUACGAGCCAUGGAGGAGCCAUGGAGGAGCGGUAGGGAUCAUUAGAAGUUACCAAAACCAUGAUCUGCACAUUGCUCCGAGGUGUUGGCUUGCAGAAUGCCCAGCUAAAGUGAUCCCCUCCUCUAUCGGGUGCUUGCUCUAUACCCAGCACCUUGCUGUGUGCUAACCAUUUACCCCUUCUGGGUCUGUCACAUAUCAGGUAUGAGAAAAUGAGCAGCAUUCCCAAGCAAGGACAGCUAGGGGAGCUGCUGGCCCUUUGAAUUGAUGGAAUGCUGUGGCCAUCUCUACAGACUGGUCAGCUUGAAGUGGCAUCAAAAGAUUUCUUUUGGACCCAAAUUUUUCCUUGACCUUGACCUAACUUUAUCCACAUGGUAUAAGUUUGUGUUGGCUGUUCCAUAACGUACUUUGACUUCUGAGUCUCUGACUUGAGGAGUAUGCUAGAACUGUCCUUUAAAAAACAACAGGCACAUCACAUUAAAAACACAGAUUAAUUAACUAGAACAAGGGGGCCCUGUUACCUAAUUGAGCUUUUAAGAUAAAGGAUAGACAAAAGAAAGCUCCCAUCGGUGUGUAACAACAGCACUUUGUGACAGCCACUCUAAGGUCAGGAUACAUCUAGUUUAGUGGCCAUAUUGUACAUAUUCCCUGUGUUGUUGGGAAGAAGGGCUGGAGAUUGAUGCAGAGAGAUGUCCCUUAGGACUUGGAAUGUAAAGUUUAGGAGAAGAGAAUCUCCGUGAAUCCUGUGACAUUGCAUGUCAUCAUUUUUCCUCUGUUAUAGUCUUUGAAUGAGUCAAUAUUUCAAUGAAGGGGUAGAGCCCUUGAGACAGAGUUCCCAGGCCCUCAGAUGGUGCAUCCCCUCCUUUGGGGCUGCUUUAUAUUUAUUCCUCAGGAGGAUCUGGUAGAAAACUUCGUGUGAGGAAGAAGAAAAAGAAAGAAGCAGAGAAUGACUACAGCCUGUCUUCAUAUCGGCUUCACAAAGCACGACUCAACAGAGGGCUUACUCUCUUGAGACUCCAGACCACAGGCCAUCUGUAACAGCCUUUCAUCUGGGAGGAGCCUUGUGAAUGAGUGAAUGAAGCUUCAGUGAGUGUUUACAGUGACACCCAUGUUUUUCUAUGGAUAUAAGGAGAAAGAAGGAGGCUAUGAAAUGCCAUCAUGGAGUAACAAAAAUUUGACAUUUUAGUGGAUAUUGGACCUAGAAGCCUACAUGAAUGAAGGAAGCAAACCUGAGAUUCUGAUGUUUGUGAGUGAAGAUAGCAGUGAACUCCUUACUGCUGUUAGUAAUGGAAGAAGAGAGGGGAGAAAAGUGAGGGAGGUCAUACAGUCCUUCACUUCAGUGGAGGGCGUGCUGAGACUUGCUUCAUAAACCAGUAACUUAUUAAGAUGGAUUGGAGAAGAAUUGUUGCACUGUACUAUUUCUUUUGCUGUUUGUGUGAAGUCACUGCCAGGCACUGUCCUCAGGUAGAGCUGCCUUUGUGGAGGUUUCUGUUGACCCCUAAUGAGAAACAACCCAGAACAAGGUUUGCGACUUAGAACUCUCUGGUUCGGUGACAGAGUUUUAAAGAGGUCGAGGACAGAGGAAAGAGCACAAAUAGUACCAGAUAGCCUAGUUUUUCUUAUUGGAUGGGCAAGGUAGAGGCAGAGGGCACAAUGAUUCUAGGCAACUCCAAACCCCUGGUAAGGCAUUAGGAAACAAUAUAAUGAAAGGUUAGCCCUUAGACCUAGUGAUUUGUCAUUCCCCAGAGCGUGAUAGAUUAUCUAAAAGAACAAGGAGAGCUGCUUUGGAGAAAAGUUCUAAAUGAUUCUUUCAGAGAACAGAUUUAAAAGAUGGGGAGCUUCCUGUUAUGUAAUAUGGGCAUUACAGCUUUUAAAGACUUCUGUUCCAAAUAGCCAAAUUAUGGAAAGCGCCUAAAUGUCCAUCAGCUGAUGAAUGGAGAAAGAGAUUGUGGUUUAUAUACACAAUGGAAUACUACUUGGCAAUGAGAAAGAAUGAAAUAAUGGCCUUUUGUAGCAACGUGGGUGGAACUGAAGAGUGUUAUGUUAAGUGAAGUAAGUCACACAGAGAAAGACAGAUACCAUAUGUUUUCACUCUUAUGUGGAUAUGGAGAAACUUAACAGAAGACCAUGGGGGAGGGGAGAAAAAAAAAAGGAGGGAGCCAAACCAUAAGAGACUCUUAAAAACAGAAUAAACUGAGGGUUGAUGGGGGGGCGGUGGGAGGGAGAGGAAAGUGGGUGAUGGGCAUUGAGGAGGGCACCUGUUGGGAUGAGCACUGGGUAUUGUAUGGAAACCAAUUUGACAAUAAAUUUCAUAUAAAAAAAAUAAAGACUUCUGUUCCCUACCUAGAUCAUGGAAGCUGACACUAGUAUCAGCCUAUGGCUGCAUAGGCCAGUAUUAACAUAGAAGUAUCGUGCUCUUGGAGAGAUCUUGCCACUCUCUUGCUUUGACAGGUGUUCAGCUGCAAUACAAGUCCAGUGCUUGAAGAAGCAAAGAGGGCAACAAGCCUCCAGGGGACAACAGUGUAGUCUUCUAAGUGAAGAUAGCAACAGAAGAGAUCAUGGACUUGGCUGGAUUGGGCUGGGCUUGUUUGUUUGUUCAAAAUUUUAAAAAUACUUUUUUUCUUGACCAUAAAAGUAACAUGAUCAUUGUUGAAAAAUGAAACGAAAGGUAUAAAUUAAAAAGUAAAGAACACCUAUAAUAUAACCAAGAAAACAACUCAACAUUUGAGUGUUUCCCUUUGUUCUUGUAAAAAAGAAUGUGUGGAACACAAUUUUUAAAGUUUUUUUUUUAAUUCCAGUUAGUUAACAUACAGCACUCUAUUAGUUUCAGGAGUAUGACUUAAAAACAAAAUUGACAUAUUGUAUAUGUUGUUCUCUAACUUUUUUCAUUUGAAAAUAAACAUUUCUAUAUCAUUGACAUUCUUUGAAAACAUAGCAUUUUUUUUUACAGGGCUGUUGUGUUAUUUUUUUUCAAUAUAUGAAGUUUAUUGUCAAAUUGGCUUCCAUACAAUACCCAGUGCUCAUCCCAAAAGGUGCCCUCCUCAAUACCCAUCACCCACCCUCCGCUCCCUCCCACCCCCCAUCAACCUUCAGUUUGUUCUCAGUUUUUAAGAGUCUCUUAUGCUUUGGCUCUUCUCCACUCUAACCUCUAAAACACAGUAUUAGGUGUUACAUAAUAUUUCAUAUGAAUCUAACAGAAUUUAUGUAAGAAAAUCACAUGCUACUGGACAUGUUGGAUAUUACCAAUUUUGCCUAUAAAAUAUAAUAAACAUCAUUGUAUGUUAAUUAUUAUGUGCAUUUCUAAUUAUUUCUUUGCAAUAAAUUUCCAGAAUUGGACUCAC
Panthera uncia (snow leopard) is the source of this 7609-nucleotide long non-coding RNA. RefSeq lists it as uncharacterized. Lineage: Eukaryota; Metazoa; Chordata; Mammalia; Carnivora; Felidae. The transcript has 2 exons. The record is from RefSeq and is a predicted model, not a curated record.